Molecule: long non-coding RNA, 2879 nt
Filed under: Lucilia cuprina (Australian sheep blowfly)
Lineage: Eukaryota; Metazoa; Arthropoda; Insecta; Diptera; Calliphoridae
Description: uncharacterized LOC124419126, transcript variant X3
Source: RNAcentral
AGAAAAACAACAAAGUAAAUAAACCAAAGUAGAAAACAUUCAAAACAACUAAAAAUGAAAUGCACGAUAAGUUACUAAUUAAGAAACAAACAAAAUUCUAAAAAAAUUUACUUCAGCUCCAAGGUAUUGAUGGACAAAGAAAGGGUAAAAUUUAUAUACAAUUUGAACUGACACGAUCAUUAUACAAUACAAUAUGUAUACAAUUCCAAUGAUGAUGAUUAGUCGAAUAAUUUAUAUAUUUAUAGAGGAUGAUGGCACAUGUACUUAUGACUGCUACAAAGCAUAUAUAUUACUAAGAAGGAGUUUAAUAACGGCUUAAAAAUAAUAUAUUAUGUCUAUGAGUAAGUAGAAUGGACAAUACACAGAGAACGACUUUAACAAAUGUGGAUGUUCCUCAGUGCAUUAUUUUCAUUUCUAAUUUUGAUCUUUUAUCAAGAAUAAAUGUCGACUUUUGAAAAAGGGUCUAUGGACUUUAGCUACCGUACUUUCCCUGAAAAAUUAUGUAAAAUGUCCGAGCAGCAUUCAAGUGUCUCGGGUUUUUGAAACGGUGUAAUACAUCACUCGAUCUGAUCUUCUUACUAUUUAUACCACUUAUAUCUGACCAAAAAAUUAAUACAACUUUCAUGCUUGGCCGGAGCUCGAAGUCUUUUUUGGAGCUACCCGACCUUGUACAAUAGAGAGCGAAUGAACUUUUUGGAGAAAGUAGGGUAUCCAACUCUAUUGAUUCAAUGGAACACCAUCACAACAUGGGGUGUAUUUUAUUGUUCUAUCCCUACUACAAUAGAAUGCUUUUCUCUGAAAUGAAGGAACUCGUUUCCGAUACCCGUCGACCACAAGAACACAGCCAUUUGUGGUCGGUUGGCCAGUGGACCGUACAUCAUAUUACUGGGAAAAUUCAUUCUUCAGUCGCACUCGUAUGUGGAAAAAACAUUCUGCAGAAGUAUUUAUCCGCAAUUUCUAUGUAAAGAGGUUUAAAUCAAAUGUCCACCAACACUACUCCUAGGACAAAAAAAGUAUACUUUGGCACUGAUUCUUUGAGGGAAUUUGUUUAAAAAUAUACAGAAUCAAGAGACUUAAGCAACACUUUUUGCUUUGAUUUAAAGUGUAGUUUAAUCUGAUUACUGUAAAAAAAUAAAUUCUGUAGAACGUGGAUCGAGGAUGGUCUUUUCACACCAGUUGCUGGACAAUGAUACGAAAACGGACUUAAUCAGCAGUAUAUGUAGGCCACUUGCUGGUUCUUCUUUGAGAUAAGUAUAUUGAAUUUGAACACUUUAUAAUACAUUCCCUGUUUAACAGUAAAAAUCUUAGCAGCUGAUUUGAAUUAUAUUCAAAUGGGGUGUUCCUGAUAUGAUCGAAAUCUUAAAACAAACUCCCAAAAACAAAGUGUUUAAUCAUGUGGACAAAUAUAAAUAUCUGAAACGAGACAUUACGUGGCAAUUUUCUUGGUUAAAGAAAUGUCUUUUUUAAGUUAAAUUUUCAGCAAAGAUAUCAGGUAUAUCCUGUUCAUAUAAAAUUUCACUCUAACUCUAUCACGCAGAAACUAUGGACCCAAUGUCGGCGAAACGAAAAUUUGUAAUAUCGGUAAUAUAAUUGCAUGACUAUGUGGCAAAAAACGCAUUGAUAUCAUCAAUGGUAUCAUAUUUUGUCAAAGUAUUAUCUGAUUCGAUUAACAUUGAAAACUAUCAGUACAGCGUAGUGUCUGGCCCAAUAUUUGAUGACGAAUAACAACUAACAAUAUCCAACAUUUUAUCUCGUCCUAUUGAACAAAGGAUCUGAGUUAUCUCUCAAGAUUACUUUUAUAUUCAAAUGGUUCUUGAACUUCUGUCUUUAUGGUGUAAUUUAAAGAUGCUCAUUUGAUAGAUUAGGGAUCAUGUUAUCUGUACAUCAAGAUCUAUCAGCAGCGAACAUCGAUCUGUAAACAUAUGAGACUAUGAAAGAGAUAUUUUUUAAAUUACGUUUUAUUCAUCCUAAAUUUGGUAAUUUUUUUAUUUUUUAUUUUCAAAAAAUAAUUAUUUUAUACACCAAUUAAAUCGGCAACUUUUUGAUCUUCCCUAAAGCGUAAUAGUUUCAUUUAAAGGUGCUGACGUGUAAUUAUCACAAUUUUUGCUUUAAUUGAAAACAGAAAAUUGCUCUACCAAGACGAAUUUUUUUCUUUUACAAAGAAAAUUGUUAAAUCACAUAAAGAAAAAUUGAAACAUAUACAAAUGGAAACGUCAUUAUUGCAACAUUUACCUUUUGACAAAAAUGAAUCAAACGGAACGAGCAUAAAGAACUCACAAGGGAACGCGCUUAUAAGUAUUAAUAAAAAAACAAACAAGCAAAGAUUUACAAAUCAAAAUUGUAACAAGGACCUUAACAAUUUGAUGAAGAUACAAAUAAGAUACAAGAUGUUAUAAGCCUACUUGCAACAAACUCAAUAUAAUAGAAUAAAAACAAAAAAAUGCCGCCACUUUAUGGUUCAUUGACGAGGCAAAUUGCUACUUCCUUAUGAGAGCAUAAAUUUAAAUUCUAAUACAUAAAAGUGCAUAAGAAAAAAAAAAACAUACACUGGGGAUGACUGUCUAAUGUUUGACGAGAUCUGGAACAAAGUAGGGUGAGUUCAAGAAAACGACAAUGUUUUGGGUAAUGGUGCUGAAAUAAGCAGAUGAAGACAUCAUCAUCGUCAUCAUACAUUGACUCAAUUCAGGCAAUCAAUGCUGUUGCUGAUGUUUAUUAACUAUGAAAUGCUGAUGAUGUAAUUCCCUUAAGACACUUGAGUAUUUUUUUGUUAAGGAGAAAAGAAAUUUUUUUUCAAAUAUUUUAAAUUUAUGCUGAUUUCAACUAACAGGUAUGUAUUACAUUUAAAUCAAAAAAGGCUACGGAAGAGCUAAAGAUUUGUU